Molecule: ribosomal RNA, 663 nt
Filed under: uncultured Lachnospiraceae bacterium
Lineage: Bacteria; Bacillati; Bacillota; Clostridia; Lachnospirales; Lachnospiraceae
Description: bacterial SSU rRNA
Rfam family: Bacterial small subunit ribosomal RNA
Source: RNAcentral
GUGGCGGACGGGUGAGUAACGCGUGGGUAACCUGCCCUGUACAGGGGGAUAACAGCUGGAAACGGCUGCUAAUACCGCAUAAGCGCACGAGGAGACAUCUCCUAGUGUGAAAAACUCCGGUGGUACAGGAUGGGCCCGCGUCUGAUUAGCUGGUUGGCAGGGUAACGGCCUACCAAGGCAACGAUCAGUAGCCAGUCUGAGAGGAUGAACGGCCACAUUGGAACUGAGACACGGUCCAAACUCCUACGGGAGGCAGCAGUGGGGAAUAUUGCACAAUGGGGGAAACCCUGAUGCAGCAACGCCGCGUGAGUGAAGAAGUAUUUCGGUAUGUAAAGCUCUAUCAGCAGGGAAGAUAAUGACGGUACCUGACUAAGAAGCUCCGGCUAAAUACGUGCCAGCAGCCGCGGUAAUACGUAUGGAGCAAGCGUUAUCCGGAUUUACUGGGUGUAAAGGGUGCGUAGGUGGCAGUGCAAGUCAGAUGUGAAAGGCCGGGGCUCAACCCCGGAGCUGCAUUUGAAACUGCUCGGCUAGAGUACAGGAGAGGCAGGCGGAAUUCCUAGUGUAGCGGUGAAAUGCGUAGAUAUUAGGAGGAACACCAGUGGCGAAGGCGGCCUGCUGGACUGUUACUGACACUGAGGCACGAAAGCGUGGGGAGCAAACAGG